Small nuclear RNA from Prolemur simus (greater bamboo lemur), 104 nucleotides. The record is from Ensembl. Lineage: Eukaryota; Metazoa; Chordata; Mammalia; Primates; Lemuridae.
GUUCUGGCUUCAGCAGCAUAUAUACUAAAAUUGAAACGAAACAGAGAUUAGUAUGGCCCCUACACAAGGAUGACUUGUAAAUUCAUGAAACGCUCCAUAUAUUU